RNAcentral lists this non-coding RNA (44 nucleotides) under Trichobilharzia regenti. Lineage: Eukaryota; Metazoa; Platyhelminthes; Trematoda; Strigeidida; Schistosomatidae. The record is from RNAcentral.
AUCCAUUGACGAGUCCCGGACAGGACGAAAUGUGCAUCCUGGAU